Long non-coding RNA from Peromyscus leucopus (white-footed mouse), 376 nucleotides. RefSeq lists it as uncharacterized. The record is from RefSeq and is a predicted model, not a curated record. Lineage: Eukaryota; Metazoa; Chordata; Mammalia; Rodentia; Cricetidae. The transcript has 2 exons.
AGUAUGACUAUUGAUUGCUACUCUGCCUUGCAGCCUGACAAGCAAGUUCUGGUAUAAUGACAAUUUAUUCUGAGGGCAAAGGCUUUCAGUUGUGUGGUAUCACCAAUUUUUAGAUAUGUGGUUUUGGACCAUCACUUUCUGAACCUUCAUCACUCACAUAGGAACAAAAUAAGAAGAUGCUUUUGUGGUAAUUCAGAGAAGGAGAAUAGAGAAACAACUGUCUGUGCUGCUAUAACUAAGAUAAACAAUCUCUCUGUCAUCAAGUUGACUCCAUGGAGACCUCCUGGGUCUUAGAACAUAUAAGUUAAACAUUCCUUGUUUGUUUGGUCUUAUAUUUAGUUUAGAAUGUCAGACAAAUAAAAUAGUAAUAAUGUCA